UUAAAUUGAAGAGUUUGAUCAUGGCUCAGAUUGAACGCUGGCGGCAGGCCUAACACAUGCAAGUCGAACGGUAACAGGAAGCAGCUUGCUGCUUCGCUGACAAGUGGCGGACGGGUGAGUAAUGUCUGGGAAACUGCCUGAUGGAGGGG
Molecule: ribosomal RNA, 149 nt
Filed under: Salmonella enterica subsp. enterica serovar Stanley
Lineage: Bacteria; Pseudomonadati; Pseudomonadota; Gammaproteobacteria; Enterobacterales; Enterobacteriaceae
Description: partial 16S ribosomal RNA
Rfam family: Bacterial small subunit ribosomal RNA
Source: RNAcentral